Molecule: ribosomal RNA, 497 nt
Filed under: uncultured bacterium
Lineage: Bacteria
Description: partial 16S ribosomal RNA
Rfam family: Bacterial small subunit ribosomal RNA
Source: RNAcentral
GAUGAACGCUGGCGGCGUGCCUAAUACAUGCAGGUCGAGCGAACAGACGAGGAGCUUGCUCCUCUGACGUUAGCGGCGGACGGGUGAGUAACACGUGGAUAACCUACCUAUAAGACUGGGAUAAAUUCGGGAAACCGGAGCUAAUACCGGAUAAUAUAUUGAACCGCAUGGUUCAAUAGUGAAAGACGGUUUUGCUGUCACUUAUAGAUGGAUCCGCGCCGCAUUAGCUAGUUGGUAAGGUAACGGCUUACCAAGGCAACGAUGCGUAGCCGACCUGAGAGGGUGAUCGGCAACACUGGAACUGAGAAACGGUCCAGACUCCUACGGGAGGAAGCAGUAGGGAAUCUGCCGCAAUGGGCGAAAGCCUGACGGAGCAACGCCGCGUGAGUGAUGAAGGUCUUCGGAUCGUAAAACUCUGUUAUUAGGGAAGAACAAAUGUGUAAGUAACUAUGCACGUCUUGACGGUACCUAAUCAGAAAGCCACGGCUAACUACGUG